GGGAAGUGAAGGGAANGAGCGGCGGACGGGUGANUAACACGURAGGAACCUGNCUUAAGGAUUGGGAUAACUCCGAGAAAUCGGAGCUAAUACCGAAUARUUCUUCAGACCGCMNGGUCUGAUGAUGAAAGGCGCUUCGGCGUCACCUUGAGAUGGCCUUGCGGUGCAUUAGCUAGUUGGUGGGRUAAUGGCCCRCCAAGGCGACGAUGCAUAGCCSACCUGARAGGGUGAUCGGCCACACUGGGACUGAGACRCGGCCCAGACUCCUACGGGAGGCAGCAGUARGGAAUCUUCCACAAUGGACGAAAGUCUGAUGGAGCAACGCCGCGUGAGUGAUGAAKGUUUUCGGAUCGUAAAACUCUKUUGUAAGGGAAGAACAKGUGUGAGAGGUAAUGCUCAUGCUAUGACGGUACCUUACGAGAAAGCCACGGCUAACUACGUGCCAGCAGCCGCGGUAAUACGUAGGUGGCAAGCGUUGUCCGGAAUUAUUGGGCGUAAAGCGCGCGCAGGCGGCCUUUUAAGUCUGAUGUGAAAGCCCCCGGCUCAACCGGGGAGGGUCAUUGGAAACUGGAAGGCUUGAGUACAGAAGAGAAGAGUGGAAUUCCAUGUGUAGCGGUGAAAUGCGUAGAGAUGUGGAGGAACACCAGUGGCGAAGGCGACUCUUUGGUCUGUAACUGACGCUSAGGCGCGAAAGCGUGCGGAGCAAACAGGAUUAGAUACCCUGGUAGUCCACGCCGUAGACGAUGAGUGCUAGGUGUUGGGGGGUUUCCGCCCCUCAKUGCUGAAGCUAACGCAUUAAGCACUCCGCCUGAGGAGUACGGCCGCGAGGCUGAAACUCAAGGAAUUGACGGGGACCGNACAKCGGUGGAGCAUGUGGUUUAUUCGAAGCACGCGAAGAACUUACYACUCUUGACAUCUCUUGACUNUUGAGAGAUCAGUUUUCCUUCGGGACAAGGUGACAGGGGUGCAGGAUGUCGUCAC
Molecule: ribosomal RNA, 981 nt
Filed under: Exiguobacterium sp.
Lineage: Bacteria; Bacillati; Bacillota; Bacilli; Caryophanales
Description: partial 16S ribosomal RNA
Rfam family: Bacterial small subunit ribosomal RNA
Source: RNAcentral